This is a non-coding RNA of Pelobates cultripes (western spadefoot toad), 1116 nucleotides long. NCBI's taxonomy places the organism in Eukaryota, Metazoa, Chordata, Amphibia, Anura, Pelobatidae. The record is from the annotation of a GenBank genome assembly.
CUCUAGUUUAAAUUAAAGCUUCUCAUUUGAUCCAUGGACUAGGUAUCUUUACUGCUGGAUUCUAUUACUCCUGUGUAAGAUGUAACAAUACAUUUAUUUCUCAAUACAGGUAUACUGUGGCUGGUGACUUGCUGGUCCCAAUGCCAAAGCCUGCUUUAUGGAGUCCAUGCAAGAUGAUUAAUGUGUAGAGCUGACCAUCAGUGUAAGUACAACUUCUAGUCUGAUCUGACUUGGUUGAAUGUAAUGUUCACUAAGGUAAUGCACUUCCUUUGCUGGGGUUAAAGCCCCUGGUGCAGCAAUGUUCCAUAGGCUUCUUGAUGUCUGGGCAUGAGACAUGGUACUGAGGGAUGAUGACAUAAAAGGCCGAAUUACAGAGCCUCUCCAAGCAGUUCUCUCUGUGGAAGAGGCUCGAUGACAAAACUCCUUGAAGCGAACUCAAAACUGACCUCAACCAAACAUGUCUUAAACUCUCUUACAGAGUACCAAUAACUGUGUGAAUGCCGCUAACAUAGAACCCUUAAUGCAGGCUAUCCCUGUUACACUUCUGUCCCUUUAAAUGACUGGCUGUAUCCCGGUUAUCUGUAAAAUGAAUGGUUAAAUGGGCCUAGAACUGCUUUAUAUAACUAGCUUGCACAUAGCUCCUGCUACAUUUCCAAACUUCUCUUGUAUUUCUGUCCUCACUAAACUUGGCUUAGUGCAAUCUGGUGCGCAUGCAUGGCUUCGCUCUGCACCAAUUGCAUUCUUUAUAGAGCUGCAUUGGAUGCCGCCCUAUGAAUGAACUCUGCGCCUCUACCGCGCAGAAUGCGCAUUCGCGAGCUGAGCUGUCUAACUGACAGCUCAGCUUGCUUUCUAUACCUGCCCCCCUCCUCAACCAAACGGUGUUUGCAUAGAAACACUAGAUAUCUAUAUCGUUAUAAAUUAAAGACAUACACACACUCUCCAUCCAUAUCCUCACCCACUAAACAAGUUUACUUACAGAUUGGAUCCUCCACUCUUCAGUCUUCAGCCUGUCUGCUCAAGCCACUCCACGCAGUGCUGACAGCCUCAGCACACAAAGUGUAUUCCCAGUGCUUUGUGUGAUGAUGGCACGUCUGAAGUAUUCACCCACGCGUGAAU